Molecule: long non-coding RNA, 1287 nt
Organism: Chinchilla lanigera (long-tailed chinchilla)
Lineage: Eukaryota; Metazoa; Chordata; Mammalia; Rodentia; Chinchillidae
Exons: 3
Source: RefSeq, a predicted model, not a curated record
UGACCUGUCAUUGUGACUGAGAUGGCCCAGCCAGCCUGCGGAUAAUCAGAGCAAGGCUGCCAGAAUCCACUUCCCCUCAACCUUCAGAAUUCAAGUUAGAACCUGCCAGUCACUCUUCCGCUUUAAACCCUGCCACAGCUCUUCCCCUUCUUCUGGAGAGGUUCAAGCCCUUGCAGGCACAGUCUCCUUCCACCUCCUCUGGCCUCACCUCUCAUCCUCUGGUGAUGGAUUUCAGCCGCCUUGGUGCCCUUGCUGUUCCUGGAACCGGCCAAGAGCGGUCCAUCCUUCUCUCCUGUUUGCUACUUUUAAUCCCAGGAUUCUGCUCCAGGGGCUGAUCUCACAGACUCAUUCUUGCUGUGCACUGCCUUGCUGAGGCUUCCAGCCCGCUCUGGCCCACUGUCUCGAGCAGUGUGCCUGUCGCUUUCUGCCCCUUUUGCUACUUUCUUCCUAAUGGACCUUGUAACCUGUAUGUCAUUCUGUUUUGUGUGUCCAAGCACCUUCAACUGGACUCUAAAGGCCUGGACUUGAUGGGCCUGGAGCUUUUAGGUUAUGAGGUUAUGAUCCUGCUCUGUCCCAAGUGCCGACAACAGUGUCCAGGACUUUGAAGUGGACCUGGUAUGUUAAAGUCAUCUUGGAGGAUGAGUAUGAGAAGAACAAAAAUUGUCUCUCUGCAGGGAUGCUACAAGCUGUUAGCUGGAAGCAUUCAGAUGGCCAACUAUUUUUACCUUUAAUUUGCAUCUUCAAACUGAUGUUGCAGUGGUGACUACGAGGUGAUAAGCUUUGAAAAUCCAUCUUUAACUGAAAAGAUCAGAGUGACGCGGGGAGAGAAUUAAAAUGGAAAAGAACCGCACUGAAAACCUGGCUCCAUGGCUGAGAUGAGGAAAAUGUAUUGAAACAGCCAAAAGCCUCUCUGAAAGCAUCAUUUCACAUCCCGACAACACAGAACAAAUUGAACCAAUUCUAGGAAUUACGUCCCUUGGUAACAAACACGGCAGUCACUUUUAAAAAUGUCACCAAAUGGCUCUGUUGACUCUGUUUUGUAACAAGUCACAAGCAGAUGGCACUUUGAAGCCUACGACGUAUCUUGGAAAACAAAAUCUCUUAGACAUUUUUGUCUUCUUUGCUAAGAUAAAGUGAUGAAAGCCCAGAUGAAAGAAGCUUGGUGUGCACUGACAGGAAGCUGCACGCCAUUCAGGGGAUUUGCUCUAAUUUCUUAUAAAGAGGUAGCUCUGCAAUUGUCAACUCCGUCUCAGUUGAGUUCCAUGACAUUUUUUUUUUUUUUUUUUG